CAAAUUAAAAAAGCAAAAGACUUCCUUUCCUUUUGCUGACAGCAUAGCCAAAAGUGUCUCUUGUCCCAGGUUCCAGGAAAGGAAGAGACACUUUGGUCACUCAACAGCCUGACAGAUUGCCAAGCACUAGGGGGCCACAUGGAACAAGCUUCGCAGUCACAUGGCAGAUUCAGAAUCCACCCUUCUCCAGGAUGCUAUGCCCUGGGAAGCUAAUCUUCAAGGAGUAUGGCAAUGAUUCCCUUGGCCCUUUGUCUUCCAGUUGGGACCAUCCAAUGAAGAACCCCAACAAAAAUCAGAGGAAGAAAAGAGAAUGCAGUCAAGGUGUUCACUCUCUUUUUGAGGAAUCACAAGAAAAUAUGUGGCUGCAUCUCUAUGAAGGAUACAGCUCCUGCCAGGCCUCUCUAGACAGCUCUCUCUCUGGGAACAAACAGCCUGUGUCAGGCACAGGGUUGGUAAUAGGUGCACUGUUCCUUCUGCAGGAUAUUAUACCCUCCCUGCUGUAUCCUGAAACCUUGCCCACAGAGUCGUAAACAAAUCUUUUAUUAAAUUCUCCUCAAUUACCCAG
This is a long non-coding RNA of Herpailurus yagouaroundi (jaguarundi), 565 nucleotides long. RefSeq lists it as uncharacterized. NCBI's taxonomy places the organism in Eukaryota, Metazoa, Chordata, Mammalia, Carnivora, Felidae. The record is from RefSeq and is a predicted model, not a curated record. The transcript is spliced from 2 exons.